AGGGCCGAUUAAACAGUUGCGGGUACGGCACUAAAGCACCGUAUUUGAGGAAAGUCCGGGCUCCACAGGGUAAGGAUAACGGCUAACGGCCGCCGGGGGCAACCCCAGGGAAAGUGCAACAGAGAUAUACCGCCCCUCACAUGCUUUAGCUUGUGAGGGGUAAGGGUGGAAAGGCGAGGUAAGAGCUCACCGGCGUGCAGGGGACUGCACGGCCCUGUAAACCCUAUCCGGAGCAACGCCGUGGCGGAGCAUUAACAUUUACCCGAUGGCUCCAUGGAGGCGGCUUGACGUGUGCGGUAACGCCCAUGCAAGAUAGAUAACUGUUCACGACAGAACCCGGCUUAUCGAUCGGCCCUUUAU
RNAcentral lists this RNase P RNA (360 nucleotides) under Oscillospiraceae bacterium. RNAcentral describes it as "RNase P RNA component class A". It matches the Rfam family "Bacterial RNase P class A". Rfam says of the family: Ribonuclease P (RNase P) is a ubiquitous endoribonuclease, found in archaea, bacteria and eukarya as well as chloroplasts and mitochondria. Lineage: Bacteria; Bacillati; Bacillota; Clostridia; Eubacteriales; Oscillospiraceae. The record is from RNAcentral.